Long non-coding RNA from Microplitis mediator, 3431 nucleotides. RefSeq lists it as uncharacterized. The record is from RefSeq and is a predicted model, not a curated record. The transcript is spliced from 3 exons. NCBI's taxonomy places the organism in Eukaryota, Metazoa, Arthropoda, Insecta, Hymenoptera, Braconidae.
UCACUGGUUUAACCAGUGACUAAAAGUUCACUGGUUGAAUCAGUGGAAAUUCACUGGUUCAUUUUAAGAGAGUAUAUAACUGUAGAGCAUUUUUUUUAAAUUUAUCAUAAUAAAAACGGAAAUUUGUUUUAAAAAGACACGACAGAUUUACGAAUUUCUCGAGAUAUCUGAAAAAUAAUUGUCCACAACAUUUUAAUGUUAUUGUGUAAAAUAUGGGAAACAGAUUGUUAUGAUUCAAGUUUUUUUGCAAACAAAAUCAGCAAGAAAAAAAAAUUUAAUCAUCAACCAUUAACUUAUUAUCUUUAACCUUUAAACGAUAACUCCGGCCUGAUAGACCGCUAAUCAAAUUCAAAAUCAAUAAAACUUCUUUUAAUAUGUUUAGUUUAAAAUAUUAAUUAAUGUGAAGUUUCAAAAUAAAUAGAGUUUAUAAUAUCAUUGAAUCAUAUCUUUUUUAUGAAGAUAUAGUUUUAAUCGUAAAAUAGAUAGUCCCCUUCUCAAAAGUAAAAAAAAACGGAGUGUACGUUUUAAUAGCAGUCCGUCAACCCGGCAUUACCCGUUCGCGUGCAAAUUUUUAAGCUUACUGCUUAAAGGUUAAAUCAGUUAUCACUUAAUGAAAAACAUUAAUGUUUUAAUAAAAAUAAUUAUUAUGUUACUCCUUAAUAUUUGAUUUGAUAAGUGAUCAAGAAUUAAUGCAAUUUGUUCAGUGUAAUUAAAGUGACUCUUCUUAUUUUAAAGACCUUGAAACACAUACUCAAUUCCUCAUACUUCGAUCGGAGUUACAUUACUCAGCAUGUGCACCGUUUUAACACCAGUUCAAUUACACUGCUAAAUAACACCGCUCCACCGACGGUGUUUAGUUUUCAUGAUAAUCUAUCAAUUUCAACAUGAGUGGUUAACCAUCAAAUACUUUUAAUUAGUCUACUUGCCCUACUACGAAACUUUGUGGCGAAAAAUUGCCGUAGUCAAAUAAAAAAUUGAAUAAAAUAUAGAAAAAUCUGGUGAAUCUUCCGGUACAAAAACCUAGCAAAAAAGGUGUAAUUUUUUUUGUUAUUAACAAAAACGUUUUGCAAGUAAAGCUUUAGUCUACUUGAACGGAAUACUGGAUAAAGAUUUUCCCCAUCCAGUUAAUUAAAUGUACAAAAUAAAAUAAUUCAAUCUUUUCUGAAUCGUUUGGUCACAAAGUUUAUACGAAAAUGUUAAUUAUUAAUUAUGAAAAUAAUUAUUUAAUUCAAUCAACACGAAAAAAUACCAGCCUAACAGCUGCUUUAUGUACCGACGUGGUCUACGCAUAUCCAUAGUGGGGAAAAGUUGCGCGCGUUGCCAUGAGUUAUUUAAAAUUCCUAUUUUAAAUGAUUAGGAAAGUAAUAAUUUUUGUGAAAGUAAAAGCUUUUUUUUAUAUAUUACUAAAUUAUAUUUUAAUAAUUUCAUCCAUUGUAAUAAAUUUUUCCAUUAAUUAAUUGAGUAUAUAAUAUUAAAAUAAAUAAUUGCCUGAAAUAAAAUAAUUCACGCGCUUGGAAUUAAAAUAAGUCAUGGCGACGCGCGCAACUUCUCCCCACUAUGGAUAUGCGCAGACCACGUCGGUACAUAAAGCAGCUGUUAGGCUAGUAUUUUUUUGUGUUGAUUAAAUUAAAUAAUUAUUUUUAUAAUUAAUAAUUAUCAUUUUCGUAUAAACUUUGUGACCAAACGAUUCAGAAAAGAUUGAAUUAUUUUAUUUUGUACAUUUAAUUAACUGCAUUGGAAAAAUCUUUAUCCAGUAUUCCGUUAAAGUAGACUAAGGCUUUACUUGCGAAACGUUUUUGUUAAUAUAAAAAAAAAUGUUGGCGGGAAAAUGUUGCCUUUUAUUUUUUAUUAUUUAUUUUGUAUUUUGAAAUUCUAAUUUUAUCUGUAAAAUAAAUUAAAUUAAUGAUCUAAUUUAAAUUAAGUAAUUAUAAGGAUGAAUAGGAUAAAUAGGUAUUAUUUAAUGAAAGUCGUGGUUUGGGUAUAUCAAAAAUGAAGAGUAUAUUUUGACCCAAAAAAGUGAGGGAAAGAAUUACGGCAUAAAACCCUUUGAAGAAGUUACAAUGAGAAAGAUUGAGAGAAUUAAGAUAUGAUAAUGAUAGUAACUCGUUGAACAAUUGACACAAGAUAUUGAACGUAUAGAUGUAUGUAUAUGUGUGUGUGAGUGAAUAUGUAUGUAUGUGCUGUAUACGUGAGAACGGAUACAGUGAAAGAUUACGCGAUGUUGGAUCGUCGUAUAAGUUAGAGAGUACGCGACGCUGGAUCGUCGUACUUAAUUCGAUCUUGGAUCGAGUUGAUUGUAAGAAAAUAUACACGUCUGUAUAUUGAGAGCGAGAGCUCGAUUGUCCACUGUGAGACGAUUUGAUAGUACGUGGUACUGUAGAACGAAUGAUUGUUUUGAAAGCUUUCGGUGCGCUGAGGCGAUGUUACCGAUUGAUCAGAUCGAUUAUAUGAUUUGAACUGUGCGACUAGGCACUUGAAACGUACAUUAGAUUAUGUUUAAUCAAUUUGGUAUUGAUAUAUUAUUGAUUGCGACAGAGGCUAUGUGUUGAAUGAAGUUAGAUUCGAAUCCGAUCAAUUUGUAUUGAUAGAUUAUUGAUUGCGACAGAGGCUAUGUGUUUGAAUGAAGUUAAGUUGAAAUCUAAUCAAGUUGUAUUGAUAGAUUAUGGAUGGCGACGAGGCCUGUAUGCGUGAGGUUAGAUCUGAUGUAUGGGAUCACGGCAAGGCGCGUUGAUAGUGAUAAAGCGCGGACAAAUAUCAAACUCUUAGUAUUGCACGACUCAUGAUGCGAAGCAUCUGAGAUGUGCUUUACGAUCGAAAAAUUUAAUUCGCCUCACUUCGGCAACUAUUUCAAUUAUUAUAUCCUUGUUAGUUUACGGAAUUGAAAUAUGUUGCAUACUAUUUUGAAGAUAAUUUAAUGGAGAUUAGUUCCAUACUUUUCAAAAAUUUAUUUAGUUCAAUAAAAACGGAAUAAACAUCAAAAUAGUCUAAAAAAAUUUCCUGUCCGUCAAGUAUGAAACCCGUAGACACAAUAACUUACGAAAAAAUGCAGUAAUUGAAUCAAAUUUUUUUUUGUUAAAUUCUUUGAAAGAUUUGUAGAUCCCCUAGUGCUAAUGGCUAGAUAACUCAGUGUCGUUUAAUUACAAUUAAUAAAAGAAUAAAAAGGCUGUAUAACUAUAUCUAUAUAUAUCGAUGUAAAAUUAACAUGGAUGCCGAUAUAUCUAUACCUAUACAUUAUACGUACAUUUAUCCCACUAGGGGCGCUUGCGAAUUACCAUCCUAGUACAGCUGUUUUUUUUUGCUAAUUGGUAAGCCUGAAUUUUUUCAGUUCAAUUUUUUUUGUUUACAUAUAUUUUUUUUUGUUUUUGUUAUUAAUCGAGAUAUUUUGAGUAGGUUCUUUUAUAAUUAUAAAAAAAAUAUUAACAUAAUUAAAA